This 67-nucleotide microRNA precursor is filed under the name Bombyx mori (domestic silkworm). RNAcentral's name for it is "mir-2774 microRNA precursor family". Lineage: Eukaryota; Metazoa; Arthropoda; Insecta; Lepidoptera; Bombycidae. The record is from Rfam by way of RNAcentral.
UAUAUACAAGUUCCGUCAGUCUAACGAGCAAUAUAAACUGCUCGAUGGAAGAUCUUCCCUUUGUCGU